This 507-nucleotide ribosomal RNA is filed under the name Triticum aestivum (bread wheat). Its description in RNAcentral is "partial small subunit ribosomal RNA". The record is from RNAcentral. Lineage: Eukaryota; Viridiplantae; Streptophyta; Magnoliopsida; Poales; Poaceae.
AUGAGUGAGCUUCGGUUCCACAAUCUCCAAGACGACAGUGACGGCGAAGACGCUGACAGCGAGUUCAGGUACAACAAGAACGAUGACGCCAAAGGAAUCGCAACCAUGCUCCAGCUACGCUCCCUACAGCUCUUUGCCAACAACCUCACCAACGAAGGGCUGACGGCGAUCCUCGACAACUGCGUCCACCUCGAGUCCCUUGACAUUCGCCACUGCUUCAAUGUCAUCAUGAACGACGCCCUGCGAGCAAAGUUCUCCAGGAUCAAGACGCUGAGGCUUCCCAACGACUCGACAGAUGACUACGACCUCGAGGCUUUGAGCCCUAUCUGGUCAGGUAUUGGCAUGGGCGUUGACACCGACAGUGACGGUGAUUUCUUCUAUGGCGGGCCUGACUACAUUCUGGACUCGGAUGAGUACGACGAUUACUUGGAUCCUGAGCGCUACCUUGAUGGCGUCUACAUCGGCAGGCGUGUUACUCUCAUGGAUCUGCUUGAUUCGGGCUACUGA